AUACGGAGGGUCCAAGCGUUAUCCGGAAUCAUUGGGUUUAAAGGGUCCGCAGGCGGUCAAUUAAGUCAGAGGUGAAAGCCCAUCGCUCAACGAUGGAACUGCCUUUGAUACUGGUUGACUUGAGUUAUACGGAAGUAGAUAGAAUAAGUAGUGUAGCGGUGAAAUGCAUAGAUAUUACUUAGAAUACCGAUUGCGAAGGCAGUCUACUACGUAUAUACUGACGCUGAGGGACGAAAGCGUGGGGAGCGAACAGGAUUAGAAACCCUAGUAGUCCU
RNAcentral lists this ribosomal RNA (275 nucleotides) under uncultured bacterium. RNAcentral's name for it is "partial 16S ribosomal RNA". It matches the Rfam family "Bacterial small subunit ribosomal RNA", at positions 523 to 797 of the family's 1533-position model. The record is from RNAcentral.